UUCUAUUUUUUCACAACUUCUCCUGCUGAUGGGCCGAUGCUGGCCCCUCCUGCCACCCUGCUUGCUUCAAAAGGCAGCAGGUUUCCAGGCAUGACAGUGCGGGCUCCGACUAUUUGCAAAACAUUUUCUCUUCCCCGGGAGCUCGGAUCCACCGUUCUGAGACCUGGGAGGAAAAAAAAACCCUAAAGCUGCCAGUCUUGGAGAGAGUGUUUUGCAAAGCUCCGGCUGGAGACUGACCCGCUUUGAGGAUUUGAUCCUAUUUCUCCCUUAAUCUUUUAAUUGUGGCGUUUGCUCUGCGUGGGCUCCCGAGGUGGCAGCGCCUGUGCUGUGCUUUGCUCUUGAGCGUGAGUGAUGAUUUUGUUUUCUUCCUUAUUUUUCCUUUUUUUUUUUUUGUCUCAGCUGUGCCUCUCACCGGGAUGCCUGGCCUGCCCUACCUUCUCCCAUCCUGCCCCUGUUGAGGCAGCCGACACAGAGCAUCUUGCUCCUCUUGUCGUGUGUUUCUGAAAACUAAAUAGCUGUGAUUUAACUCAAAGUAGCCAAAAUCGAGGAAAAUAACCUCAGAGCCAAAACCUCUGAGGGUAGCACGUAGGAUGUGGCUGCAGGUGCUGGUCCAGAGACUGGCCCCGGCGCUGGGACUGGGCGAGUCAAGGGCCGUGGCAGGAUUUGGGCAUCGUACAAGGGCUCUGGAGUUCCAACUUUUAGGAAAACCAAAGUGUCUUUCAGGGCACCAGAAGGAGCUUCCCCAGCUGGAAACAGGCGUCAGGGUCAGGUCUCUGUUAAGCUGGCAGCGUUUGGUUUAAAAUGGCAUGUUUUGGCUCUCUGUAAGUCAAUUAGGAAGGAGCUUAUGCAAAGCCGAAUUAAACUACUCUUUUAGACAGCAAUAAGCCAGCGCUGGCCUGGCUCCUUCGAGCGGGAUGGAGCCGGGCUCCUGCCGCGGGUGCAGGGCUGGCAUGUCCCCCCGUGGUGCUGGUGUCGGCCUGGUGGCUCCUGGCUCCUGGUGGGCUCAGCCACACGUGGUCGUGGCACCCGUUGGGCAGCGGGGUGCUUCCCCUGAGGAAGAGGCUUAACGUUUGUCCCGCUGUGCAGCAGCACCUUAAGUCCUGGCAUCCGGGGUGAUGCGGAAAGAGGAGCCGAUCCUUCCUUGGCCUGGAUAAGCGGCGGGUCUGACCUGCCCCAAGAGCACCUGACUGCUGGGUAAUCCCAUGGGGUUAAUCCUGCACCUACCCUUCGCCCGCCAGCUGUGCCGCUCCCCAUCCUGGAUGGUCUCUGAAACAGGGCGGGGGGACUGGUCCCAUCCUUGCCCCCAGCUCCUGGGGAAGCCGUUGGGAUGCUUUGGCCCCACCCCGGGCUGCGCCUGGGCUCCUUCGUGCCGAGGUCCUGGUUUAUUCCCCCGCUUUAGCGAGCGAGGGUUGUAGUCGAGGAAAUUAGAGGCUGCAACGUAACGGUUGUGCAGGUCGGGUCUGGAUUAGGAUUGUCCAGGCGACCUUUCAGCGAGGUGUUUCCUAAUAUUCAUCUCCCGGAGCGAGGGAAGGAGCCAGGGGAUUGUUGCACCUCAAGAAGAGGCCCCAGUGGCGACGCUGUCGGGUUUACGCUGCCGCAGGCUCUGACUUUGUGUCCCCAUGGGGUGGUCGGGGGGGGAACCUCUUGCUUGAUGCUCUCCCCCUUGCGCAGAGGAAGGCACAAAACCAGGAGGAGGAUUUGCACCGAGAAAGGAGAAUCCUGCCCCGAGCCUGGCGGGCACAGGGGGGUGUUUUUGGGUCCCGCCACCCUCCCCGAGGGGUGUCAGCGCGCUGUCACCCUGCCCUCAGUCACACCUCUGCCUCUUGGUCUGUUUGUCUUUCCCCGCCUCCCCGCGCCGCCGUCUUCCGGGUGUCCCUUGGGCCACCUCUCGCCGCCACCACCCCGGCAGCCGAGCGGGCAGCAAGAGGCAGCCUCACCUGCCCAGGUUAAGCAGCCUGUCUUCCCUGGGUGAUUCGUCUUCAGAGCGGAGGUCUCCCGGGCACCACCGCCAGCCCUCCGACUCCUCCGAAACCACCGGUCUGGUCCAGCGCUGUGUCAUCAUCCAGAAGGACCAGCAUGGCUUCGGCUUCACCGUCAGUGGCGACCGCGUCGUCCUGGUGCAGUCGGUGCGACCAGGUGAGAGGGGCCGGUGCUGGCAGCAGGCGGGGGAGGGCA
Athene cunicularia (burrowing owl) is the source of this 2175-nucleotide long non-coding RNA. RefSeq lists it as uncharacterized. Lineage: Eukaryota; Metazoa; Chordata; Aves; Strigiformes; Strigidae. The transcript is spliced from 3 exons. The record is from RefSeq and is a predicted model, not a curated record.